CCAGAGUGUUCCAUUUCAAUGGUGCUAUCAAUGCUUUUCAGGGUUUUUUUAAAGGUUUGUCAAGAGCAGGAUCACAGUGAGGUACUUGCUGGCCCUUGUCUUCUCAUCUGCACCUGGAAGAUGCUUGUGGCAGUGAAGAACACAGAACCAGUUGUUCUCUAAGGGCCCAGACUUGUUCUGGUAAAAAUUCAGUGUUCUUCUCUCCUAAAAGUGCUCCUAGACACAGGAGAAAUUGGAAGUGCAUAGCAGGCCUGCCAGGACUGGAGUGAGGAUGUAACAACACAGUCCGGUGUUUUUUAAGGAUGGGAUUGAAAUUGGCUCAGAAAGGCUGUCCAGCCUGGGAGCUGCAGAAGGGAACACAGCAGACAAUACCCCGUAGUCCUGCCUGCGGUGUUCCUCACGCGUUUGGAAGCAGCCGGAGCUGCCAGCGGCAGGGCGGGAGCAGCUCUGGCUGCGGCCCUGCGGGACACACGAGAGCUCCCGGAGGAAAACACGGGCUGGCCGGGGCAGGGACAGCCGCGCUCCCCGCCCCGCCCCGCCUGGCGUCAUGGAAUUCCAGGGCGCUCCCGCCAAUGGCGGCGGGGGCACGGCCGGUGGCGCGGGGGAUCGGCCCCGCCGCUGGCCUCGGGGCUCGGGCACGCCCGGCAGGCCCCGCCGCAGCCCCGAGCGCGGCGGAGCAGCUCCGCCUGCGGGAGAAGGGAGCGGGAACCGCCGGACCGAGAGCCCUUCCCGCACCCCCGGGAGUGGGCACAGCAAAAGCGGACACGGACGGGCUAUGGAGGGAUGAGCUUGUUAACCUCCGGCAGCUUCCUGCGGCUGGGAACUGGUGCUCUGCCCUCUUAUAACUUUUCCAUCAUGGGAUGCGUGUGGUGUGUGGGGAAUUGAUGCCAGUUUCGGUGCCUGACUUUCAGCGUUUACUGAGCAUUUGCAAAUAGUCUGAUUGUAUAAUACUAAACAGCUCAGAGUUCACUUUGGGCUGUCCAGUAAGGUGCUAUUAUCUCAUAAAAUACUAUCCACCAAUCCACCAAUACUUCUGCAAGUAUAAAUAAAAUCCUUUGUGGUUUCUCUUUCCUGACA
Molecule: long non-coding RNA, 1077 nt
Organism: Junco hyemalis (dark-eyed junco)
Lineage: Eukaryota; Metazoa; Chordata; Aves; Passeriformes; Passerellidae
Source: Ensembl